This 202-nucleotide unclassified non-coding RNA is filed under the name rhizosphere metagenome. RNAcentral's name for it is "partial ribosomal RNA internal transcribed spacer region". The record is from RNAcentral.
GUAGGUGAACCUGCGGAGGGAUCAUUACCGAGUGAAGGGCUCCGGCCCGACCUCCAACCCUUUGUCAUCCGACUCUGUUGCCUCGGGGGCGACCCAGCCUUCGGGCGCGGGGCCCCCGGCGGACCCCCUCAACACUGCAUUCUUGCGUCUGAGUAAAUAUUUGAAUCAAUCAAAACUUUCAACAACGGAUCUCUUGGUUCUG